This 400-nucleotide long non-coding RNA is filed under the name Theobroma cacao (cacao). RNAcentral's name for it is "long non-coding RNA (TCAC_LNC000309)". The record is from RNAcentral. Lineage: Eukaryota; Viridiplantae; Streptophyta; Magnoliopsida; Malvales; Malvaceae.
GAAAAGCUUCUGGUUUGGAGGGUUAUACUGGCCUGGUUCUCGCUACAGUGAGAAAGUUGCUGAUGCUCCUCACCACAGCAAGAAACAUUUUGUUUUGCUGCCCGAAUCUCACUGCAGAGAGAAACUUUCUGUCCUGCAUGCUACCUUGUUUGAUUGCUAUCCCAUUUUUCAUUUCAGUAAUACCAUAGUUGAUCAUGGACUCCCAACAUUAAGGAGUUUAUUUAUUUAAGUUUGAGAUGAGGGGUUUUAGAGAGAAACCCUCGGCCAGUUGUGAAACCCUCGUCCAGUUGAUAAUUUGAGCCCAAAUUUUGCUGCAGCGAAAAUUCAUUCUUGCUGCAGGGAGAAUGCCUUUCCACUAUAGCGAGGACCCGUCGUUUUACUUGACUUGACUUGCUUGAAU